Molecule: ribosomal RNA, 602 nt
Filed under: uncultured bacterium
Lineage: Bacteria
Description: bacterial SSU rRNA
Rfam family: Bacterial small subunit ribosomal RNA
Source: RNAcentral
UAACACUGAGAAAUUGGUACUAAUACCCCAUAAUAUCUCAUGCGGCAUCGCAUGGGGUUGAAAACUCCGGUGGUUGAUGAUGGGCAUGCGUUGUAUUAGCUGGUUGGUGAGGUAACGGCUCACCAAGGCGACGAUACAUAGGGGGACUGAGAGGUUAACCCCCCACAUUGGUACUGAGACACGGACCAAACUCCUACGGGAGGCAGCAGUGAGGAAUAUUGGUCAAUGGACGCAAGUCUGAACCAGCCAUGCCGCGUGCAGGAUGACGGCUCUAUGAGUUGUAAACUGCUUUUGUACGAGGGUAAACCCCGAUACGUGUAUCGGGUUGAAAGUAUCGUACGAAUAAGGAUCGGCUAACUCCGUGCCAGCAGCCGCGGUAAUACGUAGGGGGCAAGCGUUAUCCGGAUUUACUGGGUGUAAAGGGAGCGUAGACGGUGAAGCAAGUCUGAAGUGAAAGGCGGGGGCUCAACCCCCGGACUGCUUUGGAAACUGUUUGACUGGAGUGCAGGAGAGGUAAGUGGAAUUCCUAGUGUAGCGGUGAAAUGCGUAGAUAUUAGGAGGAACACCAGUGGCGAAGGCGGCUUACUGGACUGUAACUGACG